CCGCGGCGAUCAAGCAAGUGAGCUCCAUUUCAAAAGAAGUACUGUUUGUUUUCUUCAAUGCACGUUUCUGGGAGAGCUAUGACUGGUGCAUCUAUGGGCUACAAGACGGGGCUGCAAUGCUGCUUGCAAUGCUGCUCUUUAUAAUCCAUAUAGUACAAACACAUACAAAUUACAUUGAUGUGGGACUUCAAAAAUAAAUCCACAAUUUGGUCCCUGAAAUGCAAGCCAGUGACGCCGGUGCACUGUAUGUCUAACCCACAAGCACUGCACAUGUGCGCCCAUGGGACAGCAACCAAAAUCUGAAAUACGCAAAAAUGUCAACUGUGAGCAAAAUAGACACCAAACAAAAAUCGUCGACGACAGCACGCACAUCUCCGCGGACUGCAUGAUUUGUCGUUCUGCACCCCAUCUCCACGGACUGCAUGCACAUGGGCGCCACACUGCACGCCCGUGCCCCAUGAAUCGUGACCACCUCAAAACACAAACAAACAAAAAAAUCAAAUGUUGGACUGCACGCACGCCGGCAGCAGCCCGCAUCUGGGCAUUCUCGACUCUUGUUUUUUUGUUGGUGGUUCUGCCUCCUGUGGAGCGAGCGAGCAAGCAAGCAGUGGCACCGCCAUUAUUGAGACCCAACACUACUCCAACCACGGCUUUGUUAGUGGAUCAGUCCAAAACAACAUGAUUCAGGCAGCGCUAAGUGCGUUCGGUACACAACAAAACGCCGUAGUUGGUCAUAUAGACAAAGCGAAACUGAAGCGGAAGUCAGCGUGCACCUUGGUCGGGUGGGGGUGCAUAUGGACUGCUCCAGCGACCAGCGGAGACGGGGCCGCCGGCCGCCGCGGAGGUGCAACUCGUCGGCGGAAAGGGUGUCCACAGGGAGGGCGACAAAUGCGAGGGCGGCUCGUCGGAUCCCGGGACCUGCUGGCUCCAAAGAUGGUGGUGGAGGGGGUGCAGUUGAUCUUGGAUGGGUCAACACAUCUGCUGGCGAACUGCAGUGCAGAAGGGCGAAUAGCACUGCACUGCAGAUCCGACCACGAGCCUCGUGCCACCAGACUGCAAGCACAAUCGCCGGUGGAUUGGACAUCCAGCCGCACCGCAGUGUCGCCCCAACAUAACUGCAGCGAUGUGCCCAAGUGAAAUCUGAAAAAGCAAAAAACAAUCGAUGGGGAGGAGAGGACACUCGAGGCCGGUGGUUGUGGCGUCGUGGCCAACGACGAGGGAGGCCAGCAGAGGCAAGCGGUGGCCGGUGAACCUGCACGAAGACUGGGGCCGCAACCGAGCUGCACGGGGUCCGCGACCGAGCUGCACAGGGGACCGCGACCGAGCUGCACGAAGACAGGAUAUCUCUCCCCCUCCUCUCUGUCUCUGCAUCGGAUCCGAGGCGAGGCGGCGAUGUAGAUCUAGGUCCGGUGUGGGUGCGGCGAGGCGGCGUGCCCGGAGUGGGCGGUGGUGGAGGUGCAGGGCAUGCUGCAGCCGCAACCCUGCUUCUCCGGCCGCAUCAAAGGCCUCCACAUCGGCCGCCUCUGCUCCACUUCCUCCGCCCCGUCCUCCAAGGCAAGAACCAUGAACUCUCCUCGUGGCGGUCGGGCGCGAAGAAUAAGAUGGCGGGGCGGCGCAUGCUCACGGCGCCUAGACGCGGAGAGGAAGGCGGUUGGCUGGUGCUGGCUUGCCACGGCCGCGCGCAGAGAUGGAGGCGAUGGAGCGAGGAAGGUGGUGGGGCGGCUUGCGGUGGCGAGCACGGAGAGGAAGGCCGCUCAGGGGAGCCCUGGUCGCGCAGGGAGGGAGGCGCGACAGCGGCCUGGGAGUGCUGCUCCGGCGGUGGCGUUGGAAGAAGGUGGACGGGGGGUUAGCCGCGGCGCGGGGAGGGAGGUGGUGCGGCGGCGCGGGCAGGGAGGUGGUCCGGCAGCACAGGGAGGUGGUCGUGCGAGAGUGGAGCACGGGGAGAGACAGAGGUGGAGGAGAGGAUAAGGUGGGUGAGUUUUCCUUUUUUUUCCUUUUGCCUCCGCAGUUCUGUCG
RNAcentral lists this ribosomal RNA (2016 nucleotides) under Triticum aestivum (bread wheat). RNAcentral describes it as "partial small subunit ribosomal RNA". The record is from RNAcentral. Lineage: Eukaryota; Viridiplantae; Streptophyta; Magnoliopsida; Poales; Poaceae.